RNAcentral lists this ribosomal RNA (956 nucleotides) under Campylobacter jejuni. Its description in RNAcentral is "partial 23S ribosomal RNA". It matches the Rfam family "Bacterial large subunit ribosomal RNA", at positions 229 to 1188 of the family's 2925-position model. Lineage: Bacteria; Pseudomonadati; Campylobacterota; Epsilonproteobacteria; Campylobacterales; Campylobacteraceae. The record is from RNAcentral.
UAGAGAUUGCGUCAGUAGCGGCGAGCGAAAGCGCAAGAGGGCAAACCCAGUGCUUGCACUGGGGGUUGUAGGACUGCAAUAUGCAAGAGGUAAGUUUAGCAGAACAUUCUGGAAAGUAUAACCAUAGAGGGUGAUAGUCCCGUAUGCGAAAAACAAACCUUAGCUAGCAGUAUCCUGAGUAGGGCGGGACACGAGGAAUCCUGUCUGAAUCCGGGUCGACCACGAUCCAACCCUAAAUACUAAUACCAGAUCGAUAGUGCACAAGUACCGUGAGGGAAAGGUGAAAAGAACUGAGGUGAUCAGAGUGAAAUAGAACCUGAAACCAUUUGCUUACAAUCAUUCAGAGCCCUAUGUAGCAAUACAGGGUGAUGGACUGCCUUUUGCAUAAUGAGCCUGCGAGUUGUGGUGUCUGGCAAGGUUAAGCAAACGCGAAGCCGUAGCGAAAGCGAGUCUGAAUAGGGCGCUUAGUCAGAUGCUGCAGACCCGAAACGAAGUGAUCUAUCCAUGAGCAAGUUGAAGCUAGUGUAAGAACUAGUGGAGGACUGAACCCAUAGGCGUUGAAAAGCCCCGGGAUGACUUGUGGAUAGGGGUGAAAGGCCAAUCAAACUUCGUGAUAGCUGGUUCUCUCCGAAAUAUAUUUAGGUAUAGCGUUGUGUCGUAAUAUAAGGGGGUAGAGCACUGAAUGGGCUAGGGCAUACACCAAUGUACCAAACCCUAUCAAACUCCGAAUACCUUAUAUGUAAUCACAGCAGUCAGGCGGCGAGUGAUAAAAUCCGUCGUCAAGAGGGAAACAACCCAGACUACCAGCUAAGGUCCCUAAGUCUUACUUAAGUGGAAAACGAUGUGAAGUUACUUAAACAACCAGGAGGUUGGCUUAGAAGCAGCCAUCCUUUAAAGAAAGCGUAAUAGCUCACUGGUCUAGUGAUUUUGCGCGGAAAAUAUAACGGGGCUAAAGU